CCUACGGGGGGCAGCAGUGGGGAAUAUUGGACAAUGGGAGGAACCCUGAUCCAGCCAUGCCGCGUGUGUGAAGAAGGCCCUCGGGUUGUAAAGCACUUUCAGUGAGGAAGAACGCCUGGUGGUUAAUACCCAUCAGGAAAGACAUCACUCACAGAAGAAGCACCGGCUAACUCCGUGCCAGCAGCCGCGGUAAUACGGAGGGUGCGAGCGUUAAUCGGAAUUACUGGGCGUAAAGCGCGCGUAGGUGGCUUGAUAAGCCGGUUGUGAAAGCCCCGGGCUCAACCUGGGAACGGCAUCCGGAACUGUCAAGCUAGAGUGCAGGAGAGGAAGGUAGAAUUCCCGGUGUAGCGGUGAAAUGCGUAGAGAUCGGGAGGAAUACCAGUGGCGAAGGCGGCCUUCUGGACUGACACUGACACUGAGGUGCGAAAGCGUGGGUAGCAAACAGGAUUAGAUACCCGGGUAGUC
This 465-nucleotide ribosomal RNA is filed under the name Vreelandella stevensii. Its description in RNAcentral is "partial 16S ribosomal RNA". It matches the Rfam family "Bacterial small subunit ribosomal RNA", at positions 338 to 795 of the family's 1533-position model. Lineage: Bacteria; Pseudomonadati; Pseudomonadota; Gammaproteobacteria; Oceanospirillales; Halomonadaceae. The record is from RNAcentral.